This 211-nucleotide ribosomal RNA is filed under the name uncultured bacterium. Its description in RNAcentral is "partial 16S ribosomal RNA". It matches the Rfam family "Bacterial small subunit ribosomal RNA", at positions 122 to 334 of the family's 1533-position model. The record is from RNAcentral.
CAACCUGCCGUCUACUCUUGGACAGCCUUCUGAAAGGAAGAUUAAUACAAGAUGGCAUCAUGAGUCCGCAUGUUCACAUGAUUAAAGGUAUUCCGGUAGACGAUGGGGAUGCGUUCCAUUAGAUAGUAGGCGGGGUAACGGCCCACCUAGUCUUCGAUGGAUAGGGGUUCUGAGAGGAAGGCCCCCACAUUGGAACUGAGACACGGUCCAA